This is a long non-coding RNA of Gasterosteus aculeatus aculeatus (three-spined stickleback), 618 nucleotides long. NCBI's taxonomy places the organism in Eukaryota, Metazoa, Chordata, Actinopteri, Perciformes, Gasterosteidae. The record is from Ensembl.
UAUCAAAGACCAGCAUGGCGGUGAUUUCCAGGGCCAUGGAGAAGUGGGAGGAAACCACAGAAGGCUGCGAGGUGAUGCCGAUAAUUGUCUCAUUUCAAGACUGAUGCCCACGGGCUUUUGUUGGUAUGUCUGCUCUCCCAGAGGAGUCCAGAUGUGAGGCACUGGAAGGGACUGGAGGGAUCUUAAUGGCUCCAAGUGUAUCUAUCUGAGACCAGAGAGGAAGAGAGUAUGCUUCUUUCCCACAUCAACGGGACCGAAAGGUUGAACUUCUUCAGCUCCUUUAGGACGGACAUCCUCUUGGCUAACAAUUACGCUGCUCCCACUUGAGACCCACAGCAUCGAUGAGGGAGUCCCACGGGGUUAAUAGGGGCGUUCACUUAAAAAAACAUUCAAAGAACCGUGUAGAUGCUGGCGCGCAAAAACAAAGGUGUUUUAAUUCUGCUAGAAGUGGAUAAAUAAAUGAUUUUGAAUUGUAGUCUUCUUCCAGCGUCUCUGUAGACCAGCAGUUAUUAUUUCUGACAGAAGAGAAUCCUUCAAUGAACUUAUUCACUUGGAUUACAUCUCAUGCUUGUAUGGUAGUUGAGUAGUGUGCUUGUUAUUUUUGGCCUUGUUUAAUCC